This is a long non-coding RNA of Athene cunicularia (burrowing owl), 724 nucleotides long. RefSeq lists it as uncharacterized. The record is from RefSeq and is a predicted model, not a curated record. Lineage: Eukaryota; Metazoa; Chordata; Aves; Strigiformes; Strigidae. The transcript is spliced from 4 exons.
UUGGAAAUUAUUUACAUGAAGAAUUGUCCAUGUCACUGCCACAGACAGCAGCUCUGGACUGGGUGAGAGGGAGAUGCUGCAAUGAAUUCACGGGGCAGCUCAGCUGCUGUGAAUGCUGGGACAUCCCAUUAGCAUGCCAAAGCCAGAAUGGGAGAAGGAAUAGGAUGAAGGAUGGAAGGUUGGCACUCAGAAAUUCAGCAAAACCACUGCUUUCAUGAUCUGGGACAGAAAAGAGUUCUCCAGAAUGAUUUCAGGCCGUUGUAUAGCAACAGCUCCAAGUUGCCACAUAGGGCUGCAUUUGAACUGCUGACCUAGGAACAAAAUAAAUUAUGUGUAGGCUGAGGUAUGGGGAUGAGACAAUUCCAGUUUCUCAGGUUCUGAAGGAAUAAAAUGGUGACUGUAGGCAGUGGGUUUGGAGUCGAUGCUUCUCUUCCCAUCUUGCCUAUGGAUUCUUCUAAGCAGCUGUCUUUCAUGUGCAUGGCUCAUUUUGGAAGUCAGAUCAAAUGUGAGUUGUUGGGGAGAACUUUUAUUACUGAUUUCAGGCAGGAAAAUCACACCCUAGAAGAGGAGAAAGCCAACAGUGCCACGAGCUCCAUCCCCACCAAAGGACUGACGGUUCUUCUGUGGUGCAGAAACAUGUCGACUUUUCUCCCUACUUGGGAGAAUUAUUCGACCUACUGGUCUGACACAGUCAGGCAGACUGCUUGGCUUUGCAUCAUCUUGC